AUACUGUGGGGACGAAAGUCUCUGCUUUUAACUAGAUAGCAACUUUCAGCAGUGGAUGUCUAGGCUCGCACAUCGAUGAAGAACGCUGCGAACUGCGAUACGUAAUGCGAAUUGCAGGAUUCAGUGAGUCAUCGAAAUUUUGAACGCAUAUUGCACUUCCGGGUUAUGCCUGGGAGUAUGCCUGUAUCAGUGUCCGUACAUCAACCUUGGCUUCCUUCCUUCCGUGUAGUCGGUGGAUGGGAAC
Molecule: ribosomal RNA, 244 nt
Filed under: Phytophthora sp. 1670-11
Lineage: Eukaryota; Oomycota; Peronosporomycetes; Peronosporales; Peronosporaceae
Description: 5.8S ribosomal RNA
Rfam family: 5.8S ribosomal RNA (bases 41-195)
About the family: 5.8S ribosomal RNA (5.8S rRNA) is a component of the large subunit of the eukaryotic ribosome. It is transcribed by RNA polymerase I as part of the 45S precursor that also contains 18S and 28S rRNA.
Source: RNAcentral